Molecule: transfer RNA, 72 nt
Filed under: Heterocephalus glaber (naked mole-rat)
Lineage: Eukaryota; Metazoa; Chordata; Mammalia; Rodentia; Bathyergidae
Rfam family: tRNA
About the family: Transfer RNA (tRNA) molecules are approximately 80 nucleotides in length. Their secondary structure includes four short double-helical elements and three loops (D, anti-codon, and T loops).
Source: Rfam by way of RNAcentral
GGGGGUGUGGCUUGGUGGUAGAGCACAUGCUUAGAAUGCACAUGAGGCUCUGGGUUUAAACCAGCACCCCCA